GACGAACGCUGGCGGCGUGCUUAACACAUGCAAGUCGAACGGAAAGGCCCUGCUUUUGUGGGGUGCUCGAGUGGCGAACGGGUGAGUAACACGUGAGUAACCUGCCCUUGACUUUGGGAUAACUUCAGGAAACUGGGGCUAAUACCGGAUAGGAGCUCCUGCUGCAUGGUGGGGGUUGGAAAGUUCGGCGGUUGGGGAUGGACUCGCGGCUUAUCAGCUUGUUGGUGGGGUAGUGGCUUACCAAGGCUUUGACGGGUAGCCGGCCUGGGAGGGUGACCGGCCACAUUGGGACUGAGAUACGGCCCAGACUCCUACGGGAGGCAGCAGUGGGGAAUAUUGCACAAUGGGCGGAAGCCUGAUGCAGCAACGCCGCGUGCGGGAUGACGGCCUUCGGGUUGUAAACCGCUUUCGCCUGUGACGAAGCGUGAGUGACGGUAAUGGGUAAAGAAGCACCGGCUAACUACGUG
Molecule: ribosomal RNA, 467 nt
Filed under: uncultured bacterium
Lineage: Bacteria
Description: partial 16S ribosomal RNA
Rfam family: Bacterial small subunit ribosomal RNA
Source: RNAcentral